This 246-nucleotide ribosomal RNA is filed under the name uncultured Lactobacillus sp. RNAcentral's name for it is "partial 16S ribosomal RNA". It matches the Rfam family "Bacterial small subunit ribosomal RNA", at positions 116 to 356 of the family's 1533-position model. The record is from RNAcentral. Lineage: Bacteria; Bacillati; Bacillota; Bacilli; Lactobacillales; Lactobacillaceae.
CGUGGGUAACCUGCCCAAGAGAUCGGGAUAACACCUGGAAACAGAUGCUAAUACCGGAUAACAACAGAUGAUGCCUAUCAACUGUUUAAAAGAUGGUUCUGCUAUCACUCUUGGAUGGACCUGCGGUGCAUUAGCUAGUUGGUAGGGUAACGGCCUACCAAGGCGAUGAUGCAUAGCCGAGUUGGGAGACUGAUCGGCCACAUUGGGACUGAGACACGGCCCAAACUCCUACGGGAGGCAGCAGCG